CCAUGUGGGGUUUCGGAGUGAGUAGCAAAGUAACCACCUGUCCCUGUUUCUUGGGUCAGUCUGCCCUCAUUUAGAGUCAGAAGAUCACUGUCUUUGAUGUCCGAGUGUGGAGAAACUGAAUAGCACAGGAAGCAAGCCUGGGGCCCCACCCCUGUCUGGCCCAGAAGCACUGCUCUCCUGAGUCUCUGUCCCUAUCUGGAGCCCUGCCCUAGACUGACCUGCCUUUCUGCAGCUGACACAGGUGAAUUCAUGAAGACCGGGAAGGGCUCCUAAUAUUUCCAUCUGAAGCGGGAUCUCUGAAAUUUCAUAGACAUGCGGUCACGCACACAUCUUUCCAAGGUCUCAGAAGCACAACAGCUAUUCACAGCUUCUCUGAGAACAGACAAGGGGCUUGCAGAGCGACCACUGAGAGUGCAUGGACAGUCAGCACACUCCACCUCUACUAGCAGAAAGGAGUAACUUCUCAAGUGAAUGGUGAACACCUAUUUAUCAUGCCCAAGGCUGGCUGCUCCAGCCAGGGGACACAAAAAUCAGCAAAAUACAGACCCUACUUAAAGAGGACAUAUGGACAUUUUACAAAUUUUCUUGAGAGUAAAUUUGUAAUUUACAAAUUUCCUUGAUAAGAUGUGACCAACCAUCUCAAUUUGCUGAAAUGGAG
This 658-nucleotide long non-coding RNA is filed under the name Homo sapiens (human). Its description in RNAcentral is "HSALNT0198797". The record is from RNAcentral. Lineage: Eukaryota; Metazoa; Chordata; Mammalia; Primates; Hominidae.